This 71-nucleotide transfer RNA is filed under the name Panesthia tryoni tegminifera. RNAcentral's name for it is "tRNA-Ile". Lineage: Eukaryota; Metazoa; Arthropoda; Insecta; Blattodea; Blaberidae. The record is from RNAcentral.
AGUAAAGUGCCUGAAUAAAGGAUUAUUGUGAUAGGAUAAAUUAUGUAACUGCUUUAUAGUUACCUUUACUA